RNAcentral lists this small RNA (126 nucleotides) under Marmota monax (woodchuck). The record is from RNAcentral. Lineage: Eukaryota; Metazoa; Chordata; Mammalia; Rodentia; Sciuridae.
GCUGGGUGCGGUGGCCCACGCCUGAAAUCCCAGAGGCUUGGGAGGCUGAGGCAGGAGGAUCGUGAGUUCAAAGCCAGCCUCAGCAAUAGCAAGGCUGCUAAGGGACUCAGUGAGACCCUGUCUCUA